GUGUAUGAAUCUCACUCCCCUCUUGUCUGUCUGGCCAGGAGUUCCCAAUUCACAAAUAAUAAUCUCCCUUCUCUCUCUCUCUCUCCCUCUUUUUCUCUCUUUCUUCUAUAUCUGUCUCAGUAGAUCGCUAUUCAGGAAGCCAGUCAUCCAUGACAAAUCCACUUGAAGCCAACUCUAUUCAGAGGUACAUAUACAACUCUUACUGAAAAGGUAUUGCCUUCAUCAAUUCCCCAUCAUUUCUUCAGCUGAUUAAAAUCGCAUUUGUGCUCAAGCUCUCUUUUCUCUCCCGCUACGAAUCUAAUUGCUAGUUCUCUGUUUCUUUGGCUCCCUCAAACUCUAGAUUAUGUUCUUUUUAUAGACUUAGUCUUGAUUUUAGUUUAAAGAGGUUGAUUUCGCGUUCACAGCCUCAAUUACCUUGCAUGUUCUUUACCUAUUGUCUGUUAAAGUUGGGGAAUUUUAGUUUGUAGACUCCCCCAAUUACAAAAUCCUUUUUCUUCUGUUGAUCGGAAGAAUUAGGGUUUUAAUCUGACUGACCAAGUCAAAGUAUUUAGGGUUUUUUUCAUUGAUUUAGCCAGAGAAAUAUGGGUUUUGAUAUGUUUGAGCAAAAAGUUGGGGUUUUGCUGAUUUUUUUUGUUUUUCUGAUGGAAUUAGGGUUUUAAUCCAAUUUGAAUCAGG
Molecule: long non-coding RNA, 675 nt
Filed under: Panax ginseng (ginseng)
Lineage: Eukaryota; Viridiplantae; Streptophyta; Magnoliopsida; Apiales; Araliaceae
Description: long non-coding RNA (PGIN_LNC018877)
Source: RNAcentral